CUGCGGAAGGAUCAUUAUAGUAUAAUCAAGGAGUACUUUGGCUGUCGCUGACCUUUUCUCAAAGGUCGUGCACGCCCUAGUGCUCUUCUAAUAUCCAUCUCACCCCUUUGUGCAUCACCGCGUGGGCCCUCUUUGCAUUGUUCUGAGGGGGUUUGCGUUUUUACACAUACAAUAUCCUAUGCAUGUUAUAGAAUGCCUUUACUUUAUUUAUACAACUUUCAACAACGGAUCUCUUGGCUCUCGCAUCGAUGAAGAACGCAGCGAAAUGCGAUACGUAAUGUGAAUUGCAGAAUUCAGUGAAUCAUCGAAUCUUUGAACGCACCUUGCGCCCCUUGGUAUUCCGAGGGGCACACCCGUUUGAGUGUCGUGACAUUCUCAACCUUUCUCAGUUUGUCAACUGAAGAAGGCUUGGACUUUGGGGGUUUUUUAUUUGCUGGCCUCCUUUGAAGCCAGCUCCUCCUAAAUGAAUUAGUGGGGUUCGCUUUGCAUAUCCUUGACGUGAUAACAUCUUUCUACGUCUUGGUUUUCGCACCGUACACCUUGCUUCUAAUUGUCUUGUAAAAGACAAUGUUCAUAUAAACCUUGACCUCAAAUCGGGUGAGACU
RNAcentral lists this ribosomal RNA (605 nucleotides) under Russula sp. RNAcentral's name for it is "eukaryotic LSU rRNA". The stretch from base 214 to 367 matches the Rfam family "5.8S ribosomal RNA". Lineage: Eukaryota; Fungi; Basidiomycota; Agaricomycetes; Russulales; Russulaceae. The record is from RNAcentral.